Molecule: ribosomal RNA, 495 nt
Filed under: uncultured bacterium
Lineage: Bacteria
Description: partial 16S ribosomal RNA
Rfam family: Bacterial small subunit ribosomal RNA
Source: RNAcentral
GAUGAACGCUGGCGGCGUGCCUAAUACAUGCAAGUCGAGCGAACGGACGAGAAGCUUGCUUCUCUGAUGUUAGCGGCGGACGGGUGAGUAACACGUGGAUAACCUACCUAUAAGACUGGGAUAACUUCGGGAAACCGGAGCUAAUACCGGAUAAUAUUUUGAACCGCAUGGUUCAAAAGUGAAAGACGGUCUUGCUGUCACUUAUAGAUGGAUCCGCGCUGCAUUAGCUAGUUGGUAAGGUAACGGCUUACCAAGGCAACGAUGCAUAGCCGACCUGAGAGGGUGAUCGGCCACACUGGAACUGAGACACGGUCCAGACUCCUACGGGAGGCAGCAGUAGGGAAUCUUCCGCAAUGGGCGAAAGCCUGACGGAGCAACGCCGCGUGAGUGAUGAAGGUCUUCGGAUCGUAAAACUCUGUUAUUAGGGAAGAACAUAUGUGUAAGUAACUGGGCACAUCGUGACGGUACCUAAUCAGAAAGCCACGGCUAACUACG